Molecule: ribosomal RNA, 254 nt
Filed under: uncultured bacterium
Lineage: Bacteria
Description: partial 16S ribosomal RNA
Rfam family: Bacterial small subunit ribosomal RNA
Source: RNAcentral
UACGUAGGGGGCGAGCGUUGUCCGGAUUUAUUGGGCGUAAAGAGCUCGUAGGCGGUUCGAUAAGUCGGACGUGAAAUCUCCACGCUCAACGUGGAGGGGCCGUUCGAUACUGUCGUGACUCGAGUCCGGUAGGGGAGUGUGGAAUUCCCGGUGUAGCGGUGAAAUGCGCAGAGAUCGGGAGGAACACCGAUGGCGAAGGCAGGUCUCUGGGCCGCAACUGACGCUGAGGAGCGAAAGCAUGGGGAGCGAACAGG